Molecule: long non-coding RNA, 322 nt
Filed under: Mytilus galloprovincialis (Mediterranean mussel)
Lineage: Eukaryota; Metazoa; Mollusca; Bivalvia; Mytilida; Mytilidae
Source: RNAcentral
GAUACGGUGUGUGAUAUUGAAAAAGCCAUAUCAUAUACACUUUAUUAUAUACAUUUACCUCAAGUAGAUGUUUUUUAUGUGACAUGACGUCAUACAGAUAUAUAAGGAGUUUUGAAAUGACGUCAUACAGAUUAUAGGUUUGACAUGACGUCAUACAGAUUAGGGAUUUGAUAAAGCUUUGCAACAGUGACUGCAAUCUAUGACGUGACGUCAUACAGAUUAAAGGUGUGAUAAAGCUUUUGCAACCGUGCUGAUAUCGAUAUCAUCACGGGUGGCUGAUACAGCACGCUUGCCAUUGGUUGUAUUACACAUACAAUUUAUC